This 711-nucleotide long non-coding RNA is filed under the name Hordeum vulgare. RNAcentral's name for it is "long non-coding RNA (HVUL_LNC006478)". Lineage: Eukaryota; Viridiplantae; Streptophyta; Magnoliopsida; Poales; Poaceae. The record is from RNAcentral.
GAUUAAAUAGCAUAAGGUGUGGCAAGGUCUUAGUCAAAUGACAUAAUUUGCAAAAAAAAAAAAAAGAAGUUUUUGUUACAUCAAUACUUAAUAUAAAAUACUCAGGGGUAUAGCAUCAGAUUUAGCAAGACUGGUAGCAUACAGCUACCUCAAUUUAGGCCACAAUCCACAGGUUCUAGUAGCAAAAUGCCCGAGGAAUUGCAGGUGCUCAGUAUCUAGUAAAGAAGGACACGCAUCACAUAGCUCGCUGGAUCUUCACUACAACGAGAUCCGGGAGAUCCUGAUGCACCUGCGCACCCUGGCCAUGGACAUGGCCACCUCCACGGAGCGGUCUGGCCCCGCCUGCAGAAGCCCGGAGCUGGCGGUGUGCGGCUUGCACGCCAGGUCCAGGCGCUUGUACGGGUACGCGCGAUCGACGGCGCCCCGACCGUGGGAGUGGGACGCUGCCUCGCCGUCCGCGUCGCCGUCCGCGUCGCCGUCCCCUGCCUGUUCGAGGCCGGAGCUCCCGGCGCGCUUCCUCUUGGUGCCGGCCGCGGUGGCGACUGAAUAGCUGCCCUGGACCACGCAAUGCGCGGCCGAGAAGGGGGCAGGGGCCGGAGCGGCGUCGACGUCCAUGGCGACGUCGAGCUGGAGCACCUUCAAGAAGAUGUCGAGGUCGGCGCCGGGGCCGGCGAGGCGCUCGAGGGCGUCGACGGCGUCGGUGAGGCGGUC